Molecule: ribosomal RNA, 164 nt
Filed under: uncultured bacterium
Lineage: Bacteria
Description: partial 16S rRNA
Rfam family: Bacterial small subunit ribosomal RNA
Source: RNAcentral
UAGGGAAUCUUCCACAAUGGGCGCAAGCCUGAUGGAGCAACACCGCGUGAGUGAAGAAGGGUUUCGGCUCGUAAAGCUCUGUUGUUAAAGAAGAACACGUAUGAGAGUAACUGUUCAUACGUUGACGGUAUUUAACCAGAAAGUCACGGCUAACUACGUACCAC